GCAGAGGGCCGGAUGGUCGCGCUGACCCCUCGGGGUUGGUGAGGAAAGUCCGGGCUCCACGGAAACAGGGUGCCGGGUAACCCCCGGCGGGCGCGAGCCCAGGGACAGUGCCACAGAAAGCAAACCGCCCCGGCGCUUCGGUGCCGGUGGUAAGGGUGAAAGGGUGCGGUAAGAGCGCACCGCGCGACCAGCAAUGGAAGCGGCAAGGUAAACCCCACCCGGAGCAAGCCCAAGUAACGCAGAGUGUUCCGGCCUCGCCGGAACAGCGCCGGUUUUCGGGCGGCUGCGGUGGUAGGGCGCGAGAAUCAGGGGGCGACCCCUGGUCCAGAUGAAUGGCCAUCGGGGGAACGGGCCUGGCCCGUUUUCGCCACAGAACCCGGCUUACAGGCCCUCUGCACGC
This 400-nucleotide RNase P RNA is filed under the name Geminicoccus sp. RNAcentral's name for it is "RNase P RNA component class A". It matches the Rfam family "Bacterial RNase P class A". Rfam says of the family: Ribonuclease P (RNase P) is a ubiquitous endoribonuclease, found in archaea, bacteria and eukarya as well as chloroplasts and mitochondria. Its best characterised activity is the generation of mature 5'-ends of tRNAs by cleaving the 5'-leader elements of precursor-tRNAs. The record is from RNAcentral. Lineage: Bacteria; Pseudomonadati; Pseudomonadota; Alphaproteobacteria; Geminicoccales; Geminicoccaceae.